Molecule: ribosomal RNA, 386 nt
Filed under: uncultured bacterium
Lineage: Bacteria
Description: bacterial SSU rRNA
Rfam family: Bacterial small subunit ribosomal RNA
Source: RNAcentral
AUUGAACGCUGGCGGCAUGCCUUACACAUGCAAGUCGAACGGUAACGGGCCUUCGGGUGCCGACGAGUGGCGAACGGGUGAGUAAUGCAUCGGAACGUACCUUUCAGUGGGGGAUAACGUAGCGAAAGUUACGCUAAUACCGCAUAUUCUGUGAGCAGGAAAGCAGGGGAUCGCAAGACCUUGCGCUGAUUGAGCGGCCGAUGUCAGAUUAGCUAGUUGGUGAGGUAAAGGCUCACCAAGGCGACGAUCUGUAGCGGGUCUGAGAGGAUGAUCCGCCACACUGGAACUGAGACACGGUCCAGACUCCUACGGGAGGCAGCAGUGGGGAGUUUUGGACAAUGGGGGGCAACCCUGAUCCAGCCAUGCCGCGUGAGUGAAGAAGGCCU